This is a long non-coding RNA of Macaca fascicularis (crab-eating macaque), 2105 nucleotides long. The record is from Ensembl. Lineage: Eukaryota; Metazoa; Chordata; Mammalia; Primates; Cercopithecidae.
UAGACUCCAGCCACCAGGUUUAUUUUCAUGCUAUAAAUAAAGUUCCCUAUUACUUCCCAUUUUCUUAUGUUCUACAUGAGAUACAGAGAACCAGAAAUUUGUGUGGUGAAUAAUCAACUGUUUGUAUACCUAAAUACCAAUGAGAUGAUAAGCGAGACUUGUAAAGCACUGAAACUGAGGCUAACAGCAACACAAUCCACUAUCAAAGGAUUUAAAUGCCAGAACUGUGAAACAUUCUCUGUAGGUGCCGGGACAGUCUGGCUGAUAAUUAACGUCCACUCUAGCACCGAGGCCUGGACACUUGUGGUUUCUGUUCACCUUUGCUGGCUUGGAGCCCAGAUCUGUCUCAUGAGCAGAGUAACUACCGAGGAGGCUUCUGUGACGGAAAGUUGGUUUUAAGCCAGAAAUCUGGAGAGAUGUCAUGCCAGGCAGCAGCCCCCACGGGCCCAGGCCUUUGUGGGGCAGUGUCACUGGUGUGCCACCAGUACCCAUGCUGCAUGGAGUGGGCUUGGCUGCUGUGGUUGGCUUGUGCUUUAGUGGUUUUCAGAUGGUGUGCAGGUGUCACGAGGAGUUUGUUGCUGGGAGUGUAUAGGAAAAGGCAAUGCAGUUGUCCAAUGAUUGGAGGAUGAAGUGGGUCACUAGGGUGAAGGAUGGUUGGAACGAGAGUUGCCUGUCUUCAGCCAGUGCCUGUUCCAUAUGUGGGCUGGACUCUGAGCAGCCUGGCAGCAAGGGUGUGUAUAAAAUGCUUGGCCUAGGCCGGGCGCGGUAGCUCAGGCCUGUAAUGCCAGCACUUUGGGAGGCCGAGACGGGCGGAUCACGAGGUCAGGAGAUCGAGACCAUCCUGGCUAACACGGUGAAACCCCGUCUCUACUAAAAAUACAAGAAAAUUAGCUGGGGGUGAGCAUGCCUGUAGUCCCAGCUACUCGGGAGGCUGAGGCAGGAGAAUGGCGUGAACCCGGGGGGGCGGAGCUUGCAGUGAGCCGAGAUUGCGCCACUGCACUCCACUCUGGGGCACAGAGCAAGACUCCGUCUCAAAAAAAAAAAAAAAAAAUGCUUGGCCUGCACCAGGGCUAGGGAGAAGAGGACACCAGGGAGGUCACAGCGUCGGAGGAGAACCAGCAUCUGCUGCUAUGAAGAGUUACAAGAGCUGUGCCUACUUCUGCCCAGAUACCAAGACCGCCAGCUCCUGGAUGGACAUGUCCUUGUUGACGUAGCGGUCAUACUGAGCAGGGGUCAGCCUGCCGCUCUGCAGGGCCUCUUCAAUGGAGAACUUCUUGCCAGACUUCCUGUCGUGUAUUACUGAGGACUCACCAUUAGGACCCUUCACUGAGAUCUCCUCCCAGUCGCACUCCUGGCUUCUGAGUUUCACGAACAUGUUCCAGUCGAUGAGCCCCACGCGGUGGGCUUCCUCCGGGGACAGCUCGCGGCCUGUGUCGGGGUGGAUGACUACGAUGGAGCGCCGCAGGUGGUUCUCCCGCUGCUCCCGCUUGACAGCCACGGAGCCCAGACGUUUCUGCAGCUCGUCGAUCUCGAGGUCUUUGUCCUUGGAGAGCCUCUUGAGGUCAUCUAGUUCCCUCUCCAGGGACCACAGUCUGGAGUCAUGGUUGGUCCCAGAGUCCGCCACGGUCAUGUUCCGCAGGUCUCGUGUUUCCGUCGCUGCCAUGUCAAUUUCCGAUUGGAGCCUUCGGGUCUCCAGCUGCAGGUUUUGCCUCUCCAGCUGUAAUUUGUGGUUCUCUUCCCUUAGAAAAUCUAGUUCCUUGGAUGACUUGGAGUUAUGAAAUUCCAGCUCCGCAAGUCUGGCUUCCAGCCGGCUCACCUCGACAUCCAGCUCGCGCUUGCUGCGGCUCUCCUCCUCCAGGUUGCUCUUGAGCCUCUGGAUCUCUUGCUCGGUGUCACCCUUCUCCACCUGGAUGCUCUCGGAGAGCACCACCUUCUCCUUGACCUCCGCCUUCUCCAGUGCAGCCAGUUUCCUCCGGAGGGGCUCAAGCUCACCCUCCAGGAGCUGCCGCCGGUGCUGCUCUUCUUCCAGCUGGAGUCGGAGCAGGGCAUGCUCUCGGGCCUGCUGCGGGUCCUGCUGCAGCACCACCUUCUGCUUGCGGGUUACC